Molecule: ribosomal RNA, 22 nt
Filed under: Sclerolaena cornishiana
Lineage: Eukaryota; Viridiplantae; Streptophyta; Magnoliopsida; Caryophyllales; Amaranthaceae
Description: partial 18S ribosomal RNA
Source: RNAcentral
UGAACCUGCCGAAGGAUCAUUG